RNAcentral lists this unclassified non-coding RNA (1102 nucleotides) under Pectinophora gossypiella (pink bollworm). RNAcentral describes it as "uncharacterized LOC126381696". Lineage: Eukaryota; Metazoa; Arthropoda; Insecta; Lepidoptera; Gelechiidae. The record is from RNAcentral.
AAGUGAAUAUAAUUAUAUAAAUUAACAUUAUUAUUUUUUUUAACAGGAAAUGCACAAUGCUAAAAACUGCGUAGGAGAUUUUAAUACAAUAGUACUACCAAGCCUGAUGUUGGCCGCUAUUUCAAUGAAUGCAGCAGUGUGACAGCUAGCAAUCAAAAGUAACAAGAUAUCGAGGAAAUGCAGAAGGCAAAAAACUGUGUAGGAGUUCAUGAUGGCAAUAGAAUAAAAUCGACCAAGCCUGAAGUCAGCAGCCCCUUCAAUGAAUGCAGCAGUGUGACAGCCAGCAAUCAAAAGUUACAACAUAUCGAGGAAAUGCAGAUGGCAAUAAACUGUGUAGGAGUUCAUGAUUGCAAUAGAAUAAAAUCGACCAAGCCUGAAGUCAGCAGCCCCUUCAAUGAAUGCAGCAGUGUGACAGCCAACAAUCAAAAGUUACAAGAAGAUAUCGAGGAAAUGCAGAAGGCAAAAAACUGCAUAGGAGAUCAUUAAUACAAUAGUAUUAUAUAAACCAAGCCUGAUGUUGGCCGCUCAUUCAAAGAAUGCAGCAGUGUGACAGCCAGCAAUCAAAAGUAACAAGAUGUCGAGGAAAUGCAGAGUGUAAUAAACUGUGUAGGAGAUUAUGAUUGCAAUGGAAUAAAAUCGACCAAGCCUGAAGUCCUUCAAUGCACGCAGCAGUGUGACAGCCAGCAAUCAAAAGUUACAAGAUAUCGAGGAAAUGCAGAAGGCAAAGAACUGCGUAGGAGAUUAUUAAUACAAUAGUAUUAUAUCAACCAAGCCUGAUGUCGGUAGCUUCUUCAAUGAAUGCAGCAGUGUGACAGCCAGCAAUCAAUAGUGACAAGAAUUUAGGAAAUACAGAAGGCAAAGAAGCAGAUGUCAUCAAAGAAGAUCUUUGUUCCUGCAAUGUUUCCGCAGACGAUACAUCCAACAGAGCGAAGUGGAAGGAAAAGACUCGGAAAAAAGACCCCACCACCAUAUGGGAACAAUGCAAGGGAGAGAGAGAGAAUAUAAUUUUAUAUUUUUAUUUUUUGAUAACAUAAAAUAAACCAACAAUAUCCUACACAUUUUUUUUAUUUCUUUUUGUGUCUGUCUUAAUAGUUAUUACAAA